Molecule: ribosomal RNA, 932 nt
Filed under: Azadinium poporum
Lineage: Eukaryota; Dinophyceae; Gonyaulacales; Amphidomataceae
Description: eukaryotic LSU rRNA
Rfam family: Eukaryotic large subunit ribosomal RNA
Source: RNAcentral
CCCCCAGUAAUGGCGAAUGAACAGGGAAGAGCUCAGCAUGGAAAUCGGGGUCUCCCGACCUUGAAUUGUAGUCUUGAGAUGUACUGCCAACGGAGGCGCAGAUGUAAGCCUCUUGGAAAAGAGCAUCAACGAGGGUGAGAGUCCCGUUUGUCAUCUGCAGUCCCCCGUGCACGGUGUACCUUCUAAGAGUCACGUUCCUCGGGAUUGGAGCGCAAAGUGGGUGGUAAAUUUCAUCUAAAGCUAAAUAUUGGUUCGAGACCGAUAGCAAACAAGUACCAUGAGGGAAAGGUGAAAAGGACUUUGAAAAGAGAGUUAAAAGUGCCUGAAAUUGCUGAAAGGGAAGCGAAUGGAACCAGUGUUCUUGAUGAGAUUGUCGCGUACUCUGGUGAUUGCUGGGUGCUCCACCGCAAGGGGGGCAUUUGGUUUUGAACUAGCGGUGCGUGGUGUUUCUUGUCUUGUGUGUCACCGUCGGUGCACAAGCGAGUAAAACUCCGGAGAACUGGUAACUCGACCAUGGUUGAGUGAAUGUCUUUGGCAGUACUCAUUUGUGUAUCGAUCCCUGCGUGUCUGGUUGCAGUGUUUGAGUCGUCUGGAAGCUUCUGAAAGGACUUGUCCUCGAAGGACUUUCUAGGCACCUUGAGCAUCUCCCUGACACAAAGACGAUGACUAAAUGGUUCUAUUCGACCCGUCUUGAAACACGGACCAAGGAGUCUAACAUAUGUGCGAGUUCACGGGUGUUAAACCUGAAUGCGCAAUGAAAGUGACUGCUGGGAUUUUUGCACCAGCMACCGACCAAUCAAUUGAGAGAGGUUUGAGUAUGAGCAUAUCUGUUAGGACCCGAAAGAUGGUGAACUAUGCCUGAGAAGGGCAAAGUCAGGGGAAACUCUGAUGGAGGCUCGUAGCGAUACUGACGUGCAAAUCGUUCGUCAUAC